UGAGCCUCAUGCCUUCUCUUUCACACUUGCCUUGUGUCAGGGAUACUGCAUGUUUAGCCAGCAUGAAGCACAGAUUAAAGAUGGUCAACCGGUGCUGCCCACCGAGUGUACUGAUCCCUAUGAUGGGAGCAAGCAUUCAUUCGGCUCCGAGUGGAAUACAGCGCAGUGCAUGAAAUGCACAUGUGAUGAAAGUGGAAUGGAUUGCUGUACCAGGUGGUACUGUCGGUUCCGGGAAUUAAAGCAGUGGUAAAUCCAAACACAUGUAAAUAUGAGUUGUAUAAACUGGACGAUCCCUCCAAACCCUGUUUCUGAGCUUUACA
This is a long non-coding RNA of Lacerta agilis (Sand lizard), 320 nucleotides long. RefSeq lists it as uncharacterized. Lineage: Eukaryota; Metazoa; Chordata; Lepidosauria; Squamata; Lacertidae. The record is from RefSeq and is a predicted model, not a curated record. The transcript is spliced from 3 exons.